Molecule: ribosomal RNA, 252 nt
Filed under: uncultured bacterium
Lineage: Bacteria
Description: partial 16S ribosomal RNA
Rfam family: Bacterial small subunit ribosomal RNA
Source: RNAcentral
UACGUAGGGGGCGAGCGUUGUCCGGAAUUAUUGGGCGUAAAGCGCGCGCAGGCGGUCCCUUAAGUCAGGAGUUUAAGGUCGGGGCUCAACCCCGGUACGCUUUUGAAACUGGGGGACUUGAGUGCAGUAGAGGAGAGCGGAAUUCCACGUGUAGCGGUGAAAUGCGUAGAGAUGUGGAGGAACACCAGUGGCGAAGGCGGCUCUCUGGGCUGUAACUGACGCUGAGGCGCGAAAGCGUGGGGAGCAAACAGG